RNAcentral lists this ribosomal RNA (770 nucleotides) under uncultured bacterium. Its description in RNAcentral is "bacterial SSU rRNA". It matches the Rfam family "Bacterial small subunit ribosomal RNA", at positions 1 to 781 of the family's 1533-position model. The record is from RNAcentral.
UUCGGCCGAUUCCCUUGAGUUUGAUCAUGGCUCAGGACGAACGCUUGCGGCGUGCCUAAGAAAUGCAAGUCGAACGGACAUCGGACUUGUCCGGUGUCAGUGGCGAACGGUCGCGUAACACGUAAGCAACCUGCCCCGAAGUGGGGGAUAACAGCUCGAAAGGGCUGCUAAUACCGCAUGUGGCCACGAGUACGCCUGUUCUUGUGUCUAAAGCCUUGUGCGCUUCGGGAUGGGCUUGCGGCCUAUCAGUUAGUUGGUGGGGUAACGGCCUACCAAGGCGUUGACGGGUAGCUGGUCUGAGAGGAUGGUCAGCCGGAUUGGGACUGAGACACGGCCCAGACUCCUACGGGGGGCAGCAAUUAGGAAUCUUGCGCAAUGGGGGCAACCCUGACGCAGCGACGCCGCGUGCGGGAUGACGGGCUUCGGCCUGUAAACCGCUUUUGAAGGGGAAGAAUACUGACGGUACCCUUCGAAUAAGCCCCGGCUAACUACGUGCCAGCAGCCGCGGUAAUACGUAGGGGGCGAGCGUUGUCCGAAGUUACUGGGCGUAAAGCGCGCGUAGGCGGCUCUUUAAGUCUGGCGUGAAAGGUUCAGGGCUCAACCCGAACAGUGCGCUGGAGACUGGAGAGCUUGAGGACGGGAGAGGGAAGCGGAAUUCCGGGUGUAGCGGUGAAAUGCGUAGAUAUCCGGAGGAACACCGAUGGCGAAGGCAGCUUCCUGGCCCGUAUCUGACGCUGAGGUGCGAAAGCGUGNGGAGCGAACGGGAUUAG